UACAGAGGUCUCAAGCGUUGUUCGGAUUCAUUGGGCGUAAAGGGUGUGUAGGUGGCGCGCUAAGUCGGGUGUGAAAUUUCGGAGCUUAACUCCGAAACUGCAUUCGAUACUGGCGUGCUUGAGGACUGGGAGAGGAGACUGGAAUUCCUGGUGUAGCGGUGAAAUGCGCAGAUAUCAGGAGGAACACCGAUGGCGAAGGCAGGUCUCGUGGGCCAUAACUGACGCUGAGAAGCGAAAGCAUGGGGAGCGAACAGG
RNAcentral lists this ribosomal RNA (255 nucleotides) under uncultured bacterium. RNAcentral describes it as "partial 16S ribosomal RNA". It matches the Rfam family "Bacterial small subunit ribosomal RNA", at positions 524 to 776 of the family's 1533-position model. The record is from RNAcentral.